This is a long non-coding RNA of Erigeron canadensis, 241 nucleotides long. RefSeq lists it as uncharacterized. Lineage: Eukaryota; Viridiplantae; Streptophyta; Magnoliopsida; Asterales; Asteraceae. The record is from RefSeq and is a predicted model, not a curated record. The transcript has 3 exons.
AAGUAAGAUUUAAGGGUUAUUUUAAGCUUGAAAUAAGGGUUAUUUGGAGCAUCAAAGCCACGAAAUUUCUGCCAUAUUUUCUUCAUCAAAACCGUGCUCUUCAAGGGGAUAGUCUUGGCUUUGAAAUGUGAUUGAGAAAUGUGACGAAUGUAUGCUGGAGCGAUUGAUGGGAAGUACCCAUUUUGGAUAAGUGAAUAUAAUAUGCGGCAUAUCAAGGAAAUAAACUUAAGCAUUGAGGAUU